UACGUAGGGAGCGAGCGUUGUCCGGAAUUACUGGGCGUAAAGGGUGCGUAGGCGGCUGUGCAAGUCAGAUGUGAAAUCCCCGGGCUUAACUCGGGGGGUGCAUUUGAAACUGCAUGGCUUGAGUGCAGGAGAGGAAAGCGGAAUUCCUAGUGUAGCGGUGAAAUGCGUAGAUAUUAGGAAGAACACCAGUGGCGAAGGCGGCUUUCUGGACUGUAACUGACGCUGAGGCACGAAAGCGUGGGGAGCAAACAGG
RNAcentral lists this ribosomal RNA (253 nucleotides) under uncultured prokaryote. Its description in RNAcentral is "partial 16S ribosomal RNA". It matches the Rfam family "Bacterial small subunit ribosomal RNA", at positions 524 to 776 of the family's 1533-position model. The record is from RNAcentral.